RNAcentral lists this ribosomal RNA (407 nucleotides) under Dermacentor sp. Hefeng. RNAcentral's name for it is "partial 12S ribosomal RNA". The record is from RNAcentral. Lineage: Eukaryota; Metazoa; Arthropoda; Arachnida; Ixodida; Ixodidae.
AAACUAGGAUUAGAUACCCUAUUAUUAGGGAGCUUGACAUUGUAAGUAUAUAAAUAUUAUGAAAGCAAAAAAUUAUGGCGGUAUCUUAAGCUUUUCAGAGGAAUUUGCUCUAUAAUGGAUAAAACACCUUAAUCUUACUUUAAUUGGUAAAAGACAGUUUGUAUACCACUAUUAAAAUAAUAAUAUACAAUUAUUAUUGAAGUAUAUUAUUUAUAUAUUUAAAUAAAAUUAAGUCAAGGUGCAGCAAAAAUUAAAGUAUGAAGUGAAUUACAGUCCUUUUUAGGUAAAAAAAAUGAAAAAGAGUUUAGGAUUUGAAAGUAAAAUUAAAAUAGAAAGUUAAUUUGAAUUAAGCUCUAGGAUAUGUACAUAUCGCCCGUCACUCUUUUUUAAGAUAAGUCGUAACAAAG